RNAcentral lists this long non-coding RNA (4210 nucleotides) under Heterocephalus glaber (naked mole-rat). RNAcentral's name for it is "lncRNA (ENSHGLG00100034114.1)". The record is from RNAcentral. Lineage: Eukaryota; Metazoa; Chordata; Mammalia; Rodentia; Bathyergidae.
CGGAUUUUCCAGGCCGGUUUCAUCCCGGCUUUAUUAUUGUGGCUAAAGUAAUUCCCAUCAGCCGGUGCUGUUCCCGUCUAGAGGAGGGGUCCACAGCGCCCUCGCCGGGAGACGCCGGAGCCGGUUCAUAGAGCAAGACAGGGUCUUGCUGUGUAGUCCAGGCUAGCCUUGAUCUCACCAUGUGGCCUGGCCCUUGAAGCGAUCCUCCUGCCUCAGCCUCCUGUUGCUGGGAUUACAGGCUUGUGCUGCCACGCCCAGCACUGCUUGGAUUGCAGAAGCCGCACUUCCAGGGUUUCCCGUGCCCCUCAGCUGCCUCUGCAGAGCGGCUCGAACACCUGGCAGACUUAGUGGGGCUCAGAGGGCGUCCUCCCGCUGGUCAGGCUGCGACUUUCCUGCGUGGGCUUUGGCCCAGUGGGACGCGCUGUGGAGCUCAGCCUUGCCGGGCGAGCAGCGCUGGGAAGGGACUGGCACUUGGCUUGCUGCUGGGCCCCUGGAGACCGGGUGACUGACACCCAAGCCGCCUGCACGGCUGAGCGUCACCAGAUCCGCCCGGGUUGGCUGUCAGACACGGCCCGUGGGGUGGUGCGAAGUGCAGAGUCUGAGGAGACCUGAGGCUCGGUUUCAUGGCCUUGUCCCCGAGUGUCCUACUCAGGCCACCACACCACUCCUCCACCCACCAACACUUGCCCUUCGAGAAUCUUCUCCAUGAGCAGCAAGCAGAAGCACAAGAGGAGUGAAUCUAGCCUGGAGUGUGUGAAGUGUUUUGCGGUGAUCUGGAACCCAUAGGAGGUGGCCUGCCAGGAGACAGCAGCCGUCCCUGGCCUGCUCAGCCGCACGCAUGACGCCAGGGAAGGAAGCUUCUCCCGGUAGCUGGAACAUGGGUGCAUCAUCCUUGCCUCUUCCUGGAAGGGGGCAGGUGACUUGGUUAGGUUCUCGUGGAUGUGAAAAGAGUAAGACCAGAGGACAAGGGGUCUGGGAAGAGACGCGUGCCUGGUGUGAGCAGACGGCCCUCCGAAGUCAUUGCAACACGCCCACACCAGUCUGACUUCGGGGUUUUUUGGUACUGGGGAUCGAACUCGGGUCCUUGUGCUAGAACUUUGGUUUUAAGCCAGGUCGUCCUUGUGGUUUAUGCUCUGGAGGCCACCGGCCAGCACCAGCAAGUAGCCAGUGAGUUCAGGGGCCACAGUUCCUGUGCCACUGUGAUGCUCCGCUGGAGAGGACCAGGACCUGGGGUGGUCAGCGAGACACUGAGGAACGUGCCCUGAGGGGUCAGUGGCCGGAGAGCAAGGGGCCCGGAGUGGACGAGGAAGGGAUGGGCUCUCAGCAACACGGCAGCCUCUUACAAGCCGCGGGGAGGCGCGCUGGCCUCCGCCCCGAGUUUCUGCUCACACUCGCUCUGUGAGGCUGUGCUUAGAAGGCACUCUGAUCCGCUCAUUUCAGACGUACGCACACUGCCCACUGCACUGUGCCAGAGGCCUGCUUUUUACUAGUGAUUUUUAUUUUGCAACUCUCGAGAGAGCUAUCAUUCUUAUGCAAAUUUUCAGAGGAAAAUGUCCUCAAAAAAUUAAUUAAGAUACUAUUAGGCAGUGACAGUUCCAUCCUAAUCGCCACCCACUUAAGCAGCAAUUAUAAGAUGCCAUUGAUUGAUUUCAGACGUGCACAUCACCCUCGCCGUGUGUCCGAGCUCGGUCUUCCCCUCAGAAGCCUGACGUCAGCGAGGCCCUUGCUCCAGUCCUCCGCAGCACGAGCCUGUGCUCCGGCUCAACAGUGGACUUGGAUAGGGAGCUAGUUUUGCAAAAAGAAGAGAGGGCGAGGAGCACUGCUACUCCUGGCUGUCUUAGCCACGCUGCCUGGCUUCCAAGGCUGGUGCUGCCAGCGGGGCCCCCUGCCCAGUGCACGAGGCACUGUGGACUCGGUCCCAGGUACGGCGGGAGCCAUGCCUCGCAGGAUACUCUGGGGCGAGUCUUGCUUGCGCUCCCAGCUGCACAGCCCUGGCCUGGUUGCUCUCCUUGCUGGUGUGUGAACAGGCCAGAGCCUUCCAAUCCUGGAGCAGCAGCUCGAGUUUCUGUGUUCACAGUGAGGCUUUCUGGCUGACCCAGACCUGCAUUGACUUAGGAGAUAUCCUUCCAAAAGAAAAUGUUCUAUUUGUCCAGCAGUAACACUGUUUACAGAGCUGCAAGCUUUACUCUUUGAUGAUAAGGAAAGUUGAGAAACACAGAUGUUUUUCACUGGCCAGUGGUACUGUCUGGGUCAGCCUCCAGCUAGCAUAAAUAAUCGAGGAGGAACACAAUGCUCUUUGAAAUAUGAAAAAUCUUUUAAGAAAUGUAUUAUUGAUGCUAUGAAAACCAAAGACGAGAUUCAGGAAUGGAAAAUAAAGAUGGUACCUGCCAUACAGGGUGUGGUGCUGUCCACUCUGGCCAACAGACAGACAAGACCUUACAGGGAAUGAACAGCUGGUCACUGGCGCGGCACUGCUCAUGGGUCGAAUGCAGUGCUUCCAGCUCUUUCCCCAAAUGGCCUGGUAGAGAACCCUGCUUCCCAUUCACCUCGCCUCAACACGGCUGCAGGGCUUCGCCCUCAGCAUUAAUCUGUGUGUAUUUGCUAGACCGGAUCGUAAACGAAUGCAGGGAAUCUAAAUGGCCCCACCUCCGACGUGGCCCGCUGUGCACUGGGCAUGGGUCUAGAUCCCGAGGGUGCCCAGGGCUGGCCCAGCAGCCAGCAGAGAAAUCCAGGUUGUGGUGGCUUCCAUAUGACAGUUCCGCCCCUGCCUGCCUGCAGCACUUUCCACCCCAGACGCCCGGUCAGCCUCCGUGCUUCCUCUGCUUCCUCUGCUCUGGCUGGGCCCCACCAUCUGCACCCCGAGUCUGGGCUGUGGUGGAGUCUUAGCAGACGUGGCGCGACUGCGGCGUGUUUUUCUGUGCAAGGUUCGCUCUGUUCACUUCUGAUGUCCAGUGUUGCUUUUUCCAGUCAUUGGCCUAAUGAGCCCUCACUUCCCGUGGACUAACUUCUGGGUGCUUCCAGGCGGCCCACGGGGACACCCUCCUGCCGGGAGAGACAUCUGUGCACUGUUCCUUUCAGCCCUGUGCUGCCCCUGGAUGAUUUUAGUGACGGUGUCACCUGCUGCCUGGGAGGGCAGAGCCGAUCCCCUGGUGUGUCCCACAGGAGGCAUUGGGCUUCUCCUUCUCACCUUUAUUUCGACAGAGACACACUGAAUCCCCAAAGUAAGUUUUGCUGAAGGUGGAAAUCUGAUAAGGUGGCAAUAAACACUGAGACUAGGAUCAUGAAACUGAGCCCUCUUAUACUCAGUCCGGCUUCCCCAUCUUCGCUUUCAACCCAUGGGGCGGCCUUUCCUCUCGCUCUGCUCUCGAGGUCUGUUUCUGCAAGUGCAGACCUCGGCGUCCUGGGACAGGAGCUGCACCCACUCCGACCCUCAGCGCUGGUCCCUGCUGCCCGAGGGCCUCCUCUCUCCAGACCUGGAUCUCGGUGUAGCCGUGAGUUACAGGGGAAGAGACGCCUCAGGGGCCCAUCCCAGCCCGGCCAGGCCUGUCUGAGGGAUUUGCCAGGCGCCAGGCCUUCUCCGAGUGCUGGUGAUAAAAAUUUAUCUCGUUCAGAAAAGAUCAUUCUUCGGCUAAGAAAAGCCAGAUCUUGCUUGCUCCGGGCAUGGCUGGACACAAGUGACGUCGUCCGAUCCUCUCUCAUUUGACAGAGCUUCCUGUUCCGUAUCCGUCUCCAUCUCUGCCCCUCCCUCUUUUUCUUCUUUUUUCUCCUUUAUUUCCCCUUCUACUGAGUCCAUCUGCAUGGAAAAUGCCUCACAUUUUGACAAAAAUGACCACCAGCAAUUUUGGAUUUAUGUUAAAUGACAGCAAUCUCAACUCAGAGAGGAAGAUGUGAUGUCUUCCCAAUGGUCCUAGGAAGGUCCCAAAGGACACUGGAUGAGCCUGGCUCCCCACCCGGCACUGAGGGUAGAGCAUGGGAUUGCCCAGGCCGGGUGACUCCCACCCCUGUGGACAUGGCUGUGGUACUGUGGGUGGCCUGACAGCUCUUGUGUUUGUGGAGCAACAAGUUCAAGGAGAGCAGGGUUGCAGGAAGGGCAGUGGUAGGAAGAGGUGAAGUGACCCAUGUUGGCCAGUGUCACUGAGGCAGGGCCCGCAGGAGCGAAGUGUCCUUCGCCACAUGACGGACGCCACGGGGAAUUUUAGUCAGAGGAGAG